UUCUUUUUUGUUUUUGUUCUUCACUGAGAUUUUAUAUUUCAUUGGAUUUUAACAUGACAUAGUACUAAUUUAUUUUUAAAUUUGUUUUAGUAUGGCUAAUAAUUUUUGGAUUAAGAAUAUUUUGUUCCCCAGCAAAAAAUUGCGAAUUUUCAAAAUUUCGCACAUUUUUAGUUCAAUUUUUUAACCCUGGUACUGACGAGAAAAUGGGCAGCAAUUCUAAAAAUGGAAAAUGGGCUGCAAUAAAUUCCAUAUGAAUGAGAAAAUGAGUAAAAAUUAUAAAAAUAAUAGCAAAUGGGAUGUACACGCCACAAAUUUCGAGGCUGACUUGUUUACGCAAGGUUUUGUCAGUCAACACACGAUUCUAGCAGCAGUGACUGUUGGAUGUCCAUCCAACGGCCGACGUGCUUCUGCAAUCUCUGAUCUUCCUCCUCCAGCCGCCUAAACCAGCGCCGGCGGUAGUGCCUGCUCCGUCCUCUUGUGGCCUGCUGUCAUGCCGCGCAGGCUUCACCGGCCCACCCUACUCCCUCCGCUGGCUUGGCCGCACGCAAUCAACUGCCUCCUUAUUACGCGGAAAAAAAUGAUUCCUCCCACUGACAUCUGGGCCGCAGUGGUUCGAAGGCUGACCUGUGGGCCUACUAAGUUGAUGCGUACGCAGGGCUUUGUCAACUUAGUCAACAAACAAUUCUAGCAGCAGUGACCGUUGGAUUGAAUCGAACGGUCCUACUGUUUCUUCAAUCGUUGCUCUUCUUGCACCAGCCGCCCAAACCAGCGCCGGCAAGACCACCUGCUCCUGCCUCCAGUGGCCGGUUGUGCUGCCGUUGAGGCCUCACCGCCCCCUACUACUCCCACCGCUGGCCAGGCCCUGCGGCGACGGCAGGCUCACACCGCAGCCGAACCAGUGAAACCUCGUACUCCUCUCCGCGUGGGCAUCCACUGCCGCGUCUUCCCCGGCUCCGCGUCGUCCCCUUCCUAGGCCUCACCGUCGUCCACCGCCCUGGUGCUCUCGGCGCGCUGUGGUCAACGUGGUCAACGAACGACAUCCAUCGGACAUGGACUUUACGUGGAGAGGCUGACAGCUGGGUCCAUGGCCGCACACAAGGAAAUGCCUCCUUAUUACGCGCAAAAUAAUGAUUCCUCCACCUGACAUCUGGGACCCACCAGAAGGGCCUCUGUAUUUCGCAAAAAAAAUGUUCCCCUGCUAACAGGUCGGACCCACCAGCUAUAUCUUCGCACGCAAGGAAGUGCAUCCUUAUUACGCACACAAAAAUGAAUACUCCCCCUGCUAGCUGGGACCCAGCUUAGUGGGAAGCUGACAUGUGGGCCUACUAAGUUGACGGGGACGGAGGGCUUUGUCAACUUAGUCAAUAUGAACGAUUCUAGCUCCAGUGACCGUACGAUGUCCAUCCAACGGCCGUAGUGCUUCUUCAACCUCUGGUCUUCUUGCUCCAGCCGCCCAAAGCAGCGCCGGUCGUGCCGCCUGCUCCUGCCUCCUGUGGCCGGUUGUGCUGCCGUGGAGGCCUCACCGCCCCCUACUACUCCCACCGCCGGUUAGGCCCUGCGGCGACGGCAGCCUCACACCGCAGCCGAACCAGUGAACCCUCGUACUCCUCUCUGUGUGGGCAUCCACUGCCGUGUCUUCUCCGGCUCCGCGUCGUCCCCUUCCUAGGCAUCGCCGUCGUCCACCGCCUUGGUGCUCUCGGUGCGGCGUGGUCAAUGUGGUCAACGACCGACUUCCAUCGGAAGAGUACUGUACGUGGAGAGGCUGACAACUGGGUCCACGGCCGCAGCAAGGAAGUGCCUCCUUAUUACGCGAAAAAUAAUGAUUCCUCCACCUGACAGCAGGGACCCACCAGACGGGCCACCGUAUUUCAUAAAAAAACGUUUCCCCCUCACUACUGGGACCCACUAGCUACAUCUUCGCACGCAAGGAAGUGCGUCCAUAUUACGGGCAAAAAAAUGAUUCGCCUCCUGACUGCUAGGACCCACCAGCUACAUCUUCGCAUGCAAGGAAGUGCCUGACCGUCGGGACCCACCUGAUCGAAGCGUACGUAGCAUUGUCAUUCUGGUCACGAUCGUGUACGUACAUACUGGUCGAUGUAGAGGCGCGCACGUAGCAUGUACAAGUACGUACAGCGGCCAGGGUGCAAGAAAGAAAAUACGGCCACAUACGUACAUACGGGCGGGGUCUCGAACGCCUACUCGCGCAUACGUUUGGCCAGGGCUCGUGUACAUGGCUGGGUCGGAACGAAGAAGUUGCACCAUCGUCGUGAUCAUGGGGAGGCAACCGGCUGGGUCGGAACGGAAUGCAUCGUCGUGUUCAUCGGGAGCCAACCGGCUUGGACGGAACAGCCAUGGAAACGAGGCCUGGCGUACCGCAGAAAGGAGGAAACGGCCUUGUGUUCGACCGGCCACGGUCGAAACGGGCUCCUGUUCAUCGGUAGGGGUCUGGCGUACCGCAAAACGGAGGAAACAGACCUCCUACGGUCGAAACGGGGUCCUGUUGAUCGGGAGGGGUGUGGCGUACCGCAAAAUGGAGGGAACGGACUUGUGUUGGAGCGCUACGAUCGAAAUGCGGGUCCUGUUCAUCGGGAGGGGUGUGGCGUACAGCAAAACGGGACUCCAUGGGAUACUGUUCAUCUCCACCGUCGACUGCCUCCACGGGCUAGUGUUCAUCCACCGUCGACUGCCUCCACGGGCUACUGUUCAUCCACCGUCGACCUCCUCCAGCCUCCACCUGCGACUGUUCAUCCACGGGCUCCUGUUCAUCCAGCCUCCACCGCGUGCUCCUCCACCGGCUACUGUUUAACCAGCCCUCUUCACUGGGUCCUGUUCAACCACCCCUCCACGGGCUACUGUUCAUCCAGCCCUCUACCGGCUACUGUUCAACCAGCCCUCCACGGGGUCGUCCUAUUCAUCCAGCCCUCCACGGGGUCCUAUUCAUCCACCCCUCCAUGGGGUCCUGUUCAUCCACCGGCUCGAUCGGUCGGGGUCCUGUUCAUCCAGCGGCAACGGCCUCUACUACCACGGGGUCAUGUUCAUCCAACCACCCACCGGGAACUGUUCAUCCAAACCCCCCAACAAUGCUCACUGUUCAUCAAGGGAACGAGGCAGCAGUGUUCGAUCGGCUUCAGUUAGUAGCAGUAGCGAAGGAAUCACUCGGGUUCAGUUAACAGCAAGGGAUCGAUCGAUCGCUCAGUUUCAGUAAUGCGUAGCCUGCAGUGCAAUCGCUCGGGUUUAGUUAGAGCCCAACGCCUCGCUCGGGUUCAGUUAGAGCGCAACGCCUCGCAUACACGCGCGUACGUAUGAGAGAAACGUGCAUCGCUCGGCCCCCGACCACCCACCGUAACCGGGAACUCCCCGAUAUUUUCCUCGCCCUCGCUUUCUACCACGGUUUUUUCCAUCAUGGACGGCCCAAAGAAUGUCAUGCGGCUGCGUAUCCGGCCCGCCCAGGACGAAAAGCCCAUUUUCUGUCAUGAUUUUUUGUCAUAGAAGUAGGAGCCCACAUCAUCUAUAAUGAUACCGGGUUUUGUCACAAUUAUCAUCAUAGAAGUGUCAUAAGCAUGACAGAAAAAAUUUGUUCGGCCCAAAAUGUCACGGAUGUGUCUUUUUUUUGUAGUGCAAGCCCUUUUGAGGAGGCUUCUUGGUGAAGUUGUUCUUGCUAGGGAAAGACUUGGCUUUGUCUUUGCGAAUGAGUUUGCCACCAUUGUCUUCCCUCUUCUCGUAAGGGCAAUCCGCCACAAAGUGACUCACAUUGCCGCAAUUGUAGCAAGUCCUUACUUGUUGCUUGUUCUUUGACCCACUUGAGUUGUUCUGAGUGAAGUUGGGCCUUGAGUUCCUCUUGUUGCUCCAAAAUUGCCUUGACGCAAGAGCCAUGUGCUCAUGGUAAGCAUAUUUGGUGUCCUCGGGGCCACACUCUUCUUCUUCCGGAAUGGCCAUGGCCUUCAAAGCAAGGGUGGGAGUGCUUUUCUUUGACCGGACACGACCAAGAGCAUUGUCGGCGGUCUUGUUCAUGAUGUUCAUGGCAAUAAACUCAUCCAACACUUCACUUGAGGUUAAGGUGUGAAAAUCCGGCCUUUGACGAAUCACAGAAGACAUGGCCUUGUUGAAUGGCAUGAUGGCCUUGAGAAACUUGCGCUUGAUCCAAGUGUCAUCUGUAUCCUUGCUCCCAUGGUCUUGGAGAGCAACCGCAAGAGUAGUCACCCUCCGGUAGAGAUCACGCGGAUCCUCAUCUUCUAGCAUCAUGAAUUCAUCGGCCUCAUCAAGGACCACUUCAAAGUUGGACCGUUGGAUGUUUGAGCUCCCCUUGUACAUAGAAACAAUGUGCUCCCAAUAAUCCUUUGCACGAGUGAAAGGAUGUAAGUGAGAUAGAUCUUCGGGUGGGACCGCAUCUUGAAGGAUGAACAAAGCGGAGUGAUUGUAUUGAUUGUCCACUUCUUCUCUUGGGAUGAAGUUGUUUGGAUCAUGCGGGUAGAAGCCUUGCUCAAUGAUUCUCCAAAGGUUAGUUGAGUAGUGGUUCAAAUGAGACUUAAUACGAAAGACCCAAUUAGCAAAAUCACCCUUAACAAGUUUGGGAGGAGGACCAUGAUUAUUAAUGCGAGGUGUAGAGACCGGUCCUCCAUAGACCGGGGGAGGGGGAACUGAGGCAAAGGUUCCCGUCCCAUUCUUGUUGUGAGAGGAAGAGACAUGAGUACCUUUAGCCACUUCCUUAGCGGAAUUGGCCUCCGACUCUGAUGCGGUGGUAUUGACAACAAGCAAAGGAUCGGGAGAAGCUUUCAUCCCCUCAAGCAAUUCUUUAAGCAUAGACUUGACUUUGGUCAUCAUAGACGUCUUAAGUGAAGCCAUAGCUUUAUUUAAGUCGUCUCGUGUGAUGGAAGUCAACUCUACAGCCUCGAGCACUUCCUCCCCGGUGUCAACCAUACUCUUUGGGUGGUGAAACCCUUAAUAAAGAGACGAGGCUCUGAUACCAAUUGAAAGGAUUGAUAUGGUUGACUAGAGGGAGUGAAUAGGCAACUACCAAUUUUUAGCUUUUCUUAACAAAUUAGGUUUAGCAACAAAAAAGGUUGUCUAGAUGUGCAACUAGGUGAGCAACCUAUAUGAUGCAAACAACAAAGUUCCUUCCCUUUGGGGGAAGUACGUCUCCGUUGGAGCGGUGUGGAGGCACAAUGCUCCCCGAGAAGCCACUAGGGCCACCGUAUUCUCCUCACACCCUCACACAAUGCAAGAUGUUGUGAUUCCACUAGUGGCGCCCUUGAAGGCGGCGACCGAACCUUUACAAACAAGGUUGGGGCAAUCUCCACAACUUGAUUGGAGGGUCCCAAUGAUGCCACGGAGCUUCACCAUAAUGAAAUGUGGCUCCGAGGUGACCUCAACCAUCUAGGGUGCUCAAACACCCAAGAGUAACAAGAUCCACAAGGGAUUAGUGGGGGGAUCAAAUUUCUCUUGGUGGAAGUGUAGAUCCGGGCCUUCUCAACCAAACCCUAGAAAAUCAACAAGUUUGAUUGGUUAGGGAGAGAGAUCGGGCAAGAAUGAGCUUUGGAGCAACAAGCUUGGGGGAAAAGAGGUAGAUCUUCUUGGGGAAGAAGACCCCCUUAUAUAGUGGGGGGGACAAUCCAACCAUUAUCCCCUCAUUCAGCCUGCAGCGAGCGGUACUACCGCUGGCCGCAGAGGUACUGCCGCUCGGCCCAGCGGUACAACCGCUGGGACCGUGCACAGCGCCUAAGGGAGAAGGGACGGAGGAGAGGGCCACUGAGCGGCACUAAUAGCGGUAGUAGGCGCGGUACUACUGCUUACAAGCGGUACUGCCGCUCCUACUGCCGCUGAACCCGACACAAGACACGCAGGUCUCGAGUCGAGGCGGUACUAGCACGAAACCAGAGCCGUACUACCGUCUGUGGCCAUGGACGGUACUACCGCUGUGAAACAGCGGUACUACCGCUUGUGGCUUUCAACCGUACUGCCGCUCCGGGCCGUGGUACUACCGCUGGCGCCUCCCUUAUGCCACUUCCACGAUAACAAGUAUACUCCAAGGAUGAGGGAAGGAGUUGGGGGUGCGAAAGAGAGAUGUGUACGUGUUGAUUCCACCCUAGCCUUUCUGAUAUGCACCCCCUCUUGAUAGUACGAUAUCUCCUACGACUCAAGUCCACCUAAACCGAAACGAAAGAUAACUACACCGUCUUCACUUUGAGCUCCGAGGGGAAUAAAUUGUCUCGUGCCAAUGAAUGAAUAUCUAAAAUGCUCAACGCACACGAUUAGUCCGCAAAUGCAUUGUCAUCAAACACCAAAACCACUUAGAGAGAGAUAUGCCCUAACACCAUGGCAUGCUUGUUGGUUGCCAACUCGAAGGAGAAGAUCUGUUGCAUCUGGUGGUAGUUCUGGAUAGGUGAUACGUCUCCAACGUAUCUAUAAUUUUUUAUUGUUCCAUGCUAUUAUAUUAUCUGUUUUGGAUGUUUUAUAUGCAUUAAUAUGCUUAUCUAUAUUAUUUUUGGGACUAACCUAUUAACCUAGAGCCCAGUGCCAGUUUCUGUUUUUUUCCUUGUCUUAGAGUUUCGCAGAAAAGGAAUACCAAACGGAGUCCAAAUGGAAUAAAACUUUCGCGAUGAUUUUUCUUGGACCAGAAGACAUCCAAAGGACUUGGAGUGCAAGUGAGGGAAGCCACGAGGUGGCCACAAGGACAGAGGGCGCGCCCAGGGCGGUAGGGCGCGCCCCCAACCUUGUGGGCCCCUCGUGACUCCAUCGACCUAUUUCUUGCGCCUAUAUAUUCUCAAAUAUUCCAAAACCAAUCAGGAGAGCCACGAAAACACUUUUCCACCACCGCAGCCUUCUGUACCCGUGAGAUCCCAUCUAGGGGCCUUUUCCGGCAUCCUGCCGGAGGGGGAUUCGAUCACGGAGAGCUUCUACACCAACACCAUUGCCCUUCCGAUGAAGCGUGAGUAGUUUACCACAGACCUACGGGUCCAUAGCUAGUAGCUAGAUGGCUUCUUGUCUCUCUUUGAUUCUCAAUACCAUGUUCUCCUCGAUGUUCUUGGGGAUCUAUUCGAUGUAAUACUUUUUUGCGGUGUGUUUGCCGAGAUCCGAUGAAUUGUGGAUUUAUGAUCAGCUUAUCUACGAAUAUUAUUUGAACCUCCUCUGAAUUCUUAUAUGCAUGAUUUCAUAUCUUUGCAAGUCUCUUCAAACUAUCGAUUUGGUUUGGCCAACUAGAUUGGUUUUUCUUGCAAUGGGAGAAGUGCUUAGCUUUGGGUUCAAUAUUGCGGUGUCCUUUCCCAGUGACAGUAGGGGCAUCAAGGCACGUAUUGUAUUGUUGCCAUCGAGUAUAAAAACAUGGGGUUUCCAUCAUAUUGCUUGAGUUUAUUCCUCUACAUCAUGUCAUCUUACUUAAUGCGUUACUUUGUUCUUCAUGAACUUAAUACUCUAGAUGCAGGCAGGAGUCGGUCGAUGUGUGGAGUAAUAGUAGUAGAUGCAGGCAGGAGUCGGUCUACUUGAUACGGACGUGAUGCCUAUAUUCAUGAUCAUUGCCUUAGAUAUCGUCAUAAUUUUGCGCUUUUCUAUCAAUUGCUCAGCAGUAAUUUGUUCACCCACCUUAAUAUUUUCUAUCUUGAGAGAAGCCUCUAGUGAAACAUAUGGCCCCCGAGUCUAUUUUCCAUCAUAUAAGUUUCCGAUCUACAAUAUUAGUUUCCUAUUUAGUUCCUUUGCAAUCUUUUACUUUCCGAUAUAUAAACCGAAAAUACCAAAAAUAUUUACUUUACCGUUUAUCUAUCUCCAUCAGAUCUCACUUUUGCAAGUAACUGUGAAGGGAUUGACAACCCCUUUAUCGCGUUAGGUGCAAGUUGUUGAUUGUUUGUGCAGGUAUUCGGUGACUUGUUCGUUGUCUCCUACUGGAUUGAUACAUUGGUUCUCAAAACUGAGGGAAAUACUUACUCUACUUUGCUGCAUCACCCUUUCCUCUUCAAGGGAAAAACCAACGCAAGCUCAAGAAGUAGCAAUAGGGGUGUUGAGGAACUCAGCGUCCUUGGGGUGAGCGUAAGAAGAAAUAGGGUAGACAGGGUAGUUAGUAUGGCAAUGGUUCAUAGGCUUGAAUUGUUGGUCUGUUAGAAUGGCAUGGUUUGUGAGCUAACCACGACAUGGCCUUGGUAGUGCUCUACCUCCAGAAGGAUCAAGUAGGUGUCCUCAUCCCAUGAAGCACCACUAAGGUCUCUGAGCUUGGACACUUGGAUCCAUCGAGCUCUCCACUUCCUCAGGUGGUUGUACACCUGGGUCGAGGUGACCUCCUAUCCACAGAAGUCGAACACCUGCUUUGCAAUAAGGUUCAAGUGCACCUCCUUGAAGCCCUUGUCAGUCCUCACCCCACUAGCUAUGAUCUCACACAUCUUGUUAAGCACAAAAGUGAAGAGGAACGGCUGCCACUUCAUGCUAUUCCCCUUGCCAUCCUUCUUCUCCUCUGCUGCUACCUUAAGAGCAGCAACAUGAGCAACAGCAUUGGGCUAAGCCAACACAAAUGGAGGAACCAUAGGCGGCACCUCGAAAACCUCUAAAUCAAGAGGCAUCUGUUCUAGAGGAGGCUGGGGGUCCUUGACGUAGGAUGGCGGGAACUGGCUCUUGGACAGCACGAUGGCCUGACUAAACUCUUGCUUGGUCAUGUCCUACAAACGUAAGUGUCAUCAACACCACAAGACACUACACAUAGACAGUAUGAACUAGCAGUACAAUAUGGACAGAUCGAACUAGCAGUACAUCUUCGACAGAUCAAACUAGCAUUACAUCUUGGACAGAUCAAACUAGCAUUACAUCUUGGACAAAUCAAACUAGCAGUAACACAUGCACAAGCAUACCACAGCAUAACAGAGCACUAAUCAUGGAGAACAGAGCACUAAUCAUGGACACAUGGAUGAUCUUGUUCAACACUUGCACACUAGCAUACCACCGAUUCAUCCAUGACCACUAGCUACCAACACUUCACUGGUACGCGUCGGUGCUAUACAAACGGUUUUAACCCCUUUCCGCGAUGGCAUUUGGAACCAUCGCCAAGUGAGUGUGGGCGAUAGGGGGGUCCUUCCCACACGACCCAGAAACCGUCGGGUAUAGGCCCUCCUGGCACACAGGCUGGGGAAAAAUGAGCUCGUGUGCGAUCGGGCGAGGCAUCGAAACCCAAUCGUUUCCAUUGUAUGUACAUCCCACACGGUGAAUCCCAGAAAAACAUUUCCGUUCUUAUGUAUAUCACACACAGUCAAUUCAAGGAAUACAUUUCCGUUCUUAUGUACAUCCCACACAGUCAAUCGAGGGAAAACGUUUUCGUUCAUAUGUAUAUCACACACAGUCAAUCCAAGAAAUACGUUUCCAUUCUUAUGUACAUCCCACACAGUCAAUCCAGGGAAAACGUUUCCGUUCGUAUGUAUAUCCACACAGUUUUAUGUAUAGGCUCGUGUGUGAAAGGUGUAACUAUCACGCACGCUCUGCCUUGGUUAACCGUUUGCUUUUAUCAACUACACCACACACGAUUUGAUGAAGAAAACUGUGUGGCAUUGGGCUAUCCAUCACAAGCGCUUUUACUGCCAGAACCGUUUGCAAAGUUCGAUGACUCAUUUAGCAGGUUUAUUAGUUUACAAUUAAUAAUUCCAGUAUUACGCAAAUUCACAUUUCAUAUCGAACAGCUGUUUGCCAAUUUCAUACCAGGCACAUAAAUAUAUUUUAACAUCACAGUACAAUAGCUACCUGAAAACAGCACAACACAGCAUAUAGCUAGUUCAACUUCAUAAGAACAAUAUAUACAUUUCCUUAAUCGAGAUCAUCCAGGCACGUCUUAUCCACCUCUGCUUUAAGUUCAGUAAGAACCUGUUUUGCACUGUCCAACUGGAAAAGUGCCUCCUCCUUCGCCAACACCAUCUUAGCAAAGUCUGAUUUAAAAAAAUCUGAGCUCAUUCUCCACCUUCCUCUUUUUAUCCCGCAUCUUCAAAUAUUCUUCAGCAUUGACAACACUUUCUCUAAGCCUACCUCUGUUCUCUUCCUCAUACAUGCUCUAGAGCUUUGUUAGGCACAUCUUCAAAGACUGUGGCCACUCUUGAUCAACCCACUCCAAGUAAGAACACUUCCAUUCAUCCUAUAAUAUUUAAAACUAGAUCGGUAACAAUUGUAGGGGAAAUGUGUUUAUAGCAACAUAGAAAAUCACCAAUAUUUAUUUUGAAAAACUGAAGAAACAGGUUAAUUAUGACAUAUCUUCUCAAAAAGAUCAAUGUGCAAAUGAAUUAAUUGCUACUGAGACAACAACCAAAUUCUAAAACAUCAGAAGCUAUAAGUAACUACAACAACGCUACAAGUUCUUACUCAUGUACUAUAAAUAACAAAUUGAACAUUUUAUGAGGAAUGUAAAUAACUGCAACAGCAUAGCGACAGUGUUUGGAUGACAGCAAAUUGAUACUAACAGGUGUGUACAUGCACAAAAUUAGUAACACUAAACUAAUAGCACUAAGGUCGUCCACUAUGUAUGCCAAAACCGGUGUAAAGACAACUGUUACUACAUCUCGCACCGGAGCCCUGCACUGGCGAGCCGAUGCAGCAGAAAAAAAAUCAGGGACCCGGACUCCGGAGCACCUAGUUGCUCCGAUGCCCAAUUCCUUCGUGUCAUAAAGAUUUAGUAUUUUACUGCUUGGCUGCUCGGAUGUGUGGACCAAAGUUGGCUGCACAAACUGCUGAAGCGGUGCCAAAUAAUUUUCUAAUGGCACCGCUGAUGAGAUGGCAACUUUUUUAGAUACUAGGUACAAACUGUGACACUAUCUUAGGAUGCGUUUGGUUGAAGGUGUGGUAUGAAUGGGUUGGGACCGUGACAGUGUCUGAAUCACAUGUAACAAAUGAUUUGUAACAACGAAAGAGGGUCUCACCUUCUCUGCACAUGCCAGAAACUUCCUCCCACGGUCCAUAGAUUCAAACGCAACUACCUUCACGCAUGGAGAUUGAUGGUGACAAUGAGCAGACAAAUCUUCAGCCACCCCGCUCCAUUCGUUGCAAUUGAUGGUCCUAGGGAGCUACAAGAGCAAGAAAUGACUCAAAUCGACCACCGGGUUAAAAUCCUUCAUUCCAAGUCAUAGCCCGAGAGAGAGAAGAGAGGCAUACCUGGGUGGUGAAGGAGUCGAAGGAGGAGGAGGAACCGUUGGAGAGGUCAUUAAAGAAGACCAUGGUGACCCCGGCGGUAUGCGAGAUGGCGAGAGCGAGGAAGCAAGUGAGGAAGCGGCUAUAGCUAAGGAAGGAAGGAGGAAACAUGGGAAAUGUGACUUGUGGUCGGGAAGAAAAGGGGGUGGGGAAGGGGGGAGGGGCGGGGUAGAUAUUUUGGUGGUAGGCCAAAAUUUUGGAAAUGUGGAGGGAAACUUUGCGCGCGGUGCCGCCGGACACCAUUCACUUUGAACGAUUGUGUGCAUCGCAAACGAUUCUUCUGCUUUACACGCAUGGGAUGAGUUUAAUAAUUCAAAUUUUCAUGGAAAUUUCCCUGGGUUCGUCAUUUCAUAAUUUAACAUCACUUGCUAAUUUGGGCACACAAAAGAGCGUACAGCACACAAACCACGCUUACUGAAUCGAGCAAUUUUAGUAAUUCAACAGAGCCAGUUGACCUUAACAUUGCUCUAACAAAAGACCAGCAUUAAAAACAAAGCCUAAGUACGCAUAAUUUUAACAUAUCCGCCGCCGCGCCGGCCUAUGCAUCGCCGGUGUGAGAUGAGACGUCGAUGACUUGUCCUGGCGACAUGCCGCUGUUGGUGGACUCCGCGUCCCCCCUGCUGAAGCCGACUGCGUCCUCGUCCUCGUCCUUGGCGCCGCCCUCAAGGUUGUAGUACUCGUAGUAGUGGCUGGGCCAGAGCCCGCGUUGGUACUCCAUGGCCGAUUCCUCGACGAACAGACUCUUCUCUACCUCGGCCUCGACCACGCGCAACUCCUCCUCCUGGCGCUCCUCGAUCUCUAUCGCCUCCUGCAUCUCCAGCUCCCGCUCGGCGACCUCAUGAGGAAGCAGGUGCUCCAUGGCCACCGCCGCCUUUUCAAACGUGGGUUGCAUGCUGGAGUCCGAGGUGGCCUGGAAUAUCUUGGCGUGUGCAUCCUCGAUCUUGGUGUGGAUGGCAUCGACCCGGGCCAGGGCCACAUCGGCGGCACGGACGGUAGCUCGAGCGCUCUCGGUGUUUGCAGCCGCCGUUGCAGCAACAGCUGCAGCCGUCUCGGCUGCCGCAGAUGCCCUCUCGGCGGAUGCGGCGGCACUCUAGGCGUAGGCAGACGCGCUCUCGACGAAGGCGGCGGCGCUCGGGGAGGACCCGGCCAUCGUAUGGGCCUUCACGAAGCGUUUCCACGGCGUCAUAUUUGCAAGAAGGGGGUGCGGGAAUGGGGAUCGGGAUUUGUGGAUUCGGGGGUUGCCGAAACUGGAGCAGACGAGCCGGCGAAGCUUAAGGAGGAAGACUUAAAUAGACCCAGAAAUUUUCAUCGCAAACGGUUCCUACAAAAAAUUUGUGUGUGAUGUUGUGGAUAUUUUUUAUUAGCUGUGAAAGACGAAUUUGGAGUAAAGUGGCAACGGAUGGUGUUUUAAAUGUACAAGAAAAUUUGUAGUACUAAUACAACUGUCAUGUAAAAUUUUGGAAAAUUUCAGGGGUCAUUUGACCUUUUAAGACAUUUAAGUGACUUUCUAGCCAUUUAAUGACCGUAAUUCAAAUUUGAACUACAUCUACAUGGAAGAGCUAACCAUAAUGGUUUGAAAAGUCAUAUUUUGUGUACUUGUGCGCGAUUUAAUUCCAUGUGCAGUAAAUUGGAAGAAAUUUUCACAUAUAUUUGUCUAACGGCUAUGACACAUAUAAGCAUGGAGUGCCAUGGCAUUUAAAUUCCAAAAAAAAGAUUAGAAACACAUGAAACCUUGCUUGAUGUAAUGUCAUACCACCAAGAUGAUGUGGUAAAAAAUUGGGCAUGUUUAACGAAAGUUUGGACACACACCCCUCACAAACUAAAGCAACUCACUAGAAGGCUCGUGGUUCCGAGAGGGAACAAUGUAUGUUUGAUGACGCACGGGCGAUAGCUUCCCCUUACGGCCUUCAAAUUUUUUCUACAUUUAACGUGCACUAAUACAACUGUCAUGUGAAAAUUCGGACAGGGGUCAUUUGACCUUUUAAAGACAUUUAAGUGAUUUUCUAGCCAUUUAAUGAACGUAAUUCAAAUUUUAACUACAUCUACAUGCAACAGCUAACCAUAACGGUUUGAAAAAUCAUAUUUGUGUACUUGUGUGCAUGUUAAUUCCAUGUGCAAUAAAUUAGAAGGAAUUUUCAAACAUAUUGGUCUCACGGCAUGGACACAUGCAUGGAGUGCCAUGGCAUUUAAAUUCGAAAAAAUAAAAAAAUGAUCAGAAAAAAGUGAAACCUUGCUUGAUGUAAUGUCAUUCCACCAAGAUGAUGUGGUAAAAAAAUUGGUCUGUUUGACGAAAGUUUGGACACACACCCCUCACAAACCGGAGCAACUCACUAGAAGGCUCCUGGUUCUGAGAGGGAACAAUGCAUGUUUGAUGACGAACGGGAGAUAGCUUCCCCUUACGGCCUUCAAAUUUUUUCUACAUUUAACAUGCACUAAUACAACUGUCAUGUGAAAAUUUGCAAAAUUUCAGGGGUCAUUUGACCUUUUAAAGACAUUGAAGUGAUUUUCUAGCCAUUUAAUGACCGCAAUUCAAAUUUGAACUAUAUCUACAUGCAACAGCUAACCAUAACGGUUUGAAAAAUCAUAUUUGUGUACUUGUGUGCAAGUUAAUUCCAUGUGCAGUAAAUUAGAAGGAAUUUUCAAACAUAUUGGUCUCACGGCAUGGACACAUGCAUGGAGUGUCAUGGCAUUUCAAUUCCAAAAAAUAAAAAAUGAUCAGAAAAACAUGAAACCUUGCUUGAUGUAAUGUCAUGAUACCAAGAUGAUGUGGUAAAAAAAUUGGCCUAUUUGACGAAAGUUUGGACACACCCCCCUCACAAACCGGAGCAACUCACUAGAAGGCUCGUGGUUCUGAGAGGGAACAAUGCAUGUUUGAUGACGAACGGGAGAUAACUUCCUCUGAUGGCCUUCAAAUUUUUUCUACAUUUAACGUGCACUAAUACAACUAUCAUGUGAAAAUUUGAAAAAUUUCAGGGGUCAUUUGACCUUUUAAAGACAUUUAAGUGAUUUUCUAGCCAUUUAAUGACCGUAAUUCAAAUUUGAACUACAUCUACAUGCAACGGCUAACCAUAACGGUUUGAAAAAUCAUAUUUGUGUACUUGUGUGCGAGUUAAUUCCAUGUGCAGUAAAUUAGAAGGAAUUUUCAAACAUAUUGGUCUCACGGCAUGGACACAUGCAUGGAGUGCCAUGGCAUUUUAAUUCUAAAAUAUUAAAAAAUGAUCAGAAAAACAUGAAACCUUGCUUGAUGUAAUGUCAUGCCACCAAGACGAUGUGGUAAAAAAAUUGGCAUGUUUGACGAAAUUUUGGACACACACCCCUCAUGAACCAGAGCAACUCACUAGAAGGCCCAUGGUUCUGAGAGGGAACAAUGCAUGUUUUGAUGACGAACGGGAGAUAGCUUCCCCUUACGGCCUUCAAUUUUUUUCUACGUUUAACGUGCAAUACUACAACUGUCAUGUGAAAAUUUGAAAAAUUCUAGGGGUCAUUUGACCUUUUAAAAACAUUUAAGUGAUUUUCUAGCCAUUUAAUGACCAUAAUUCAAAUUUGAUCUACAUCUACAUGCAACGGCUAACCAUAACAGUUUGAAAAAUCAUAUUUUUGUGUACUUGUGUGCGAGUUAAAAAAUCAUCAGACGAUGUAAAUAUCUGGUGUUCAAAAAAGAAAAUGUAAAGAUCUGGCAAGACAACCGGCCCCCACACGAUUGGCACUCUAUUUCGUGGCUCGAGGUUUGGUAGGUGAGUGGCGGGGGGUCAUUAAUCAGACACGGUUCUGUAUUGGAAACCAUCAGCUAUUAAGUUCACACACGGAUUUUGCUGCGGGAAUCAUGUGUAAUUCAUACUACAGUACUUGUAAAUUCCGGCGACCGGCGUGUGUACUGUUCCCGUCGAUCUAGAUUCUGGUCGCCAAUAAAUACUACCUUGCUCACGUCGUCCCGCCUGCAUUCUCAUCUACAUCCUCUCCUCGCUCGCCCUCUCUCUCUCUCUCUCAAAUCUCUGCCAUGGCGCCGCCGGUCUGCCCACGCGCCGAUGAGGAGUCGCCGCCCCCCGAGGACGCUCACUCGAAUAGCAGCGACGAGGACCCCUACGCACCACCGGAUGAGGUUGCGCCGGACCCCCCAACUUUGGAUUGGUUUUGGGGGCAGUACAAUCUUUGUCUGUGGAAGUCGCUGUCGCCGGCUGAGAAAGCCAGGAAAGUGGCAUUCAAGAAGGAGAUGGCGGAGGAGGAAGCCAGGUACCAAGCGGCCUGUGAAGCCCGUGAUGCCACCUGGAAAAAGGAGGCGGCAGAGCUUUGGGGGCGGGCGCGUCGUCGUGCGGAAGAGGUGUACGAAGACGGGUACUUCGCGAGGAAGGCCAAAGGCGCUGGGCGCCUCAUCACUUCGUGGAGGUGGGCCGAUAAGCUCCAGCAUGCCACCAACGAGGAGCUCCAGUGGGCGCCCAACGAAAUGGCAAGAUCGUUCGCGCUUGUCCGCCAGCAAGAGGUAGAUCGGUACGUCAAGUGCUGCAAGGCGGAGGAGGCAGAGUACUGCCUCCGCACUGGGAAGACGCCGCGCACCAGGGAGCUGCUGGCGAGGGGCUGCCGGAAUACUGGCCCCAGGAGGGAUUAUUAGUUUUAGUAUUGUUCGUUUUUCACUUUAUGCAUGGUAUCUAGUAGUUAAGUAUCAUCACUUAUAUGUGAUGAUAAUAUAUAUAUUAUGUGAUGAACCGAUGAAUAAUUAAUAUAUAUAUAUAUAUAUUAUGAAUUCCAUUUUCUAUCUGUUUUUGUAUACUAAUUUGAAUCUAGCUGUUAUCAUCCACGUAUACAGAAUGGAAAGCGUAUAUACAGACAUUGAAACAGAACAUAUAAGAACGGAAAACAGAGUACACACAUUGAAACAGAGCAAUACUAUGAUUGCUGUGAAUACAUAGCUAUCCACGUCGAAACGACUCAACAAAAUAAAACGCGUCCAUGAGACCAUGACCAGCAACCCUUGCCUACGGUAGCUCUUGGCUCUGCCUGAACUCAUGCAGGCGUUCGUCCAAGCGGUCGACACGCUCGCGGUACAUUUGGAGCGAAAUCUUGAGCUCCAAGUUGGCUAUUUCAUCAGAGGUCACCAGCUCGAGGAUGCGACGGCCAUGUUCCUCUACUGCGCCCAGGUGGACACCUAGGCCAAGGAGGCGGUCGAGCCUACCGACCAGCACGUUGGCAUCGAGCGGGCCGCGAACAAUGCGAACGGCGCGACCCAUGCGAACAGCGCGGCAGGCGUCCGGUGCAAGUACGGCGCAGAGGGCCUCUGCCCACUCCUAGAGAGGAAUGGGGGUACUGGCGGGACGUGUACCCAACUGUGACGCCCUGUUGACAGCAGGCAAGCGUUGAUGGAUCCGCUCUUGCUGUGGGGCGCGCCGCGCCUCUCGCUCUGCGGUGCUCCAACGGUCUCGCCGUGCGGCGAGCCGCAGCCUAUCGGCGCGGAUGCGCCUAGCUUGCUCUACGGUACACCAUCGAUCACGUUGUGCAGCGAGCUGCAGCCUCUCGGCGUUGACAUGCCUAUCUUGAUCCGCGGCGCUGAAGCGCCAUGCGCCAAGGGUCUGCUCAACCCUGGCGAUGACGCGCAUCACGACGUCGUCCAUCGCGUUGUCGGGGAGCUCCUCGGCCUCGACGGGCCGUGGCGCCUGCUCAUUUUCCUCGUCGACGAGGUUGAUGUCAGAGGCGGCGCUUUGGUGGGUUGGCAUGCUUGGAAAAGGUGGAUGUGCUACAGGAUGCGCUUGUUGCCUACGUGCGUCGCGCGCCGCCUAGGUUUAUGUGCAAUAUCGCUGGGUGGCGGGAAACAGGUGAGGAAAUGGCGGAAAAUGGUGGCGUUUUCAUAAAACACCAUCAAUUAAUGGAAACUUAGCAUGUAAGGAACAUCGAGCUAGCACAAGAAGUAGAUGAUGAUCAGAUGAACACGGACCACACUAGGGAACCCAUCGGUGAUGAACUCAUCAAUCGCAAACGGUUGUAUACUAGCAAGCGUUUGCCCACAACACACACAGCUUAUUUCAUCACAAACAGGUCGGAUGGAUCAAGUGUAUGCCACAUAUCGCACAUUGUCAAAAAUUAAUGCGGUAGACCUUCUUUAACAUGUGUUAAAAAACAAGGACCUCGAGGUUAAUUUAACUGAUGGGAUGGAUCAUAUAGGUCAUUUAAUUUGACCUGUAUGACCCAUCCCAUCAGUUAAUUUAACAUCAAGACAACUUCCCAUCCAGUCACCCGUCUGAUGGUUGCUCCAGCCUGAGCACAGUUAACUUGAGAGUUCUCUUAGAUGAGCUAUUGGUGGAACAGCUAGUCCUUACUGAUAUAGGAUGCCUCUUCGCAUCCUUACUACGUACCCGGAUGACCGCCCGUCGCCCAAUGGCCAAUAGAUGUUCUAUAGACAGAGCAUAUCACAUACGUCUUAUUAGAAGCAAUCGUCUGUGUUAUUAUCGGUCUUUGCACACAUUUUUUAUUACAGACCUGUUUGCUGCGUAUCACACACAUCUUGUUAUAUCGAACCGUUUAUGUUCUCUUGUCUCAACACAAACAGUUCAUCCGAGUGAACCACAUGCCAUAUAUCGUACACACCUUGAUCUGGCUGACCGUUUUUUUUGUGUUGCCUAACCACAAACAGUUCAUCCGAGGUGUUGUAUAACGCACACACCUUCAUCUGGUUGCCCGUUUCUUUUGUUCCUCCUCAUCGCAAACAGUUAAUUGAACUGAACCGUAUGCCCUGCAUCGAACACGCAACUAAAAUCUAAACCAUGUUUGAUGCAUCCGUCAUUGCAAACGUUUUGCACCUUUUUGACGGGUUUUUUACACCACCGUUUGCGAUUAUGGCAUCGCACACAGUUUCGUCGAAGGGUCUCUGAUCGUAGUGCCGCGUUAGCAGCAUCCUGCAGUAGUGCUUGCCCACAUGGAAACAAUCCCUAGCAUGCUCCAAAUCCAUCACAACUAGCUACUACACCAUCACAGUCAAACAGAUCGGACGGCCUAACCUUAGAACAUGGACAGAUCUAGCUAUAACUAGAAGAGAGGAGGUGGUGAUUGAACUUACAGAGGCCAUUGGAACGACCGCGUAGGAGGUGCCUGGCACGUCAGAAAGGAGGAGGAGUCGACCCGCCGGCGUAGUCGACCGGUCGCCGGAGUAGAUGCGCCGCUUACCUCGUCGUUGAAGUGGAUCCACGCUGGAGGGAAAGCUCAAGGAGGGGGGAAUGGUGGCUGGAGUUUUGCCGCGGCGGUGACCCUCGAUAUAUAGGGCGACCAAAUCGGCGGGCGGUGACUCGAAUUCGUCCCGUCGCUUUUUGGAUAUGCACCAUCGCUCCCGCCAUCUCCCUCCCAUGCGCGGCGCGGCGCGGCGUUCCCCUCCCCUGCAUCACUCGAGCCUGGCUCGCUGGAAACAACCGAUUCGGUCAUUCCUAGCGGGCCAGGAUGAGGGGUGCUUUGAGGUUCAUGCUAUGCGGACCAAACAAUAAACACAGGCAUCCAAACAGCCAUUUUCAUCCUGUGAGGGCCCGGCUGGGCCUAAUGCAGGCUACCAGACGCGUCCUUAAUGGAUUGUAUGAAACAAUGAAAACUUAGAGAAUGGACAAAACCAAGUGUGUUUGUGCAACACACCUCAAUGAAGUAAAAUAGAAGUUCAUGGUGUGAUCACAACCCGAAAUAGAUGAACAGAUUGUUCAUUAGUACAUGCAACACUAUAAUAUACAUUUCUGCACCAGAGCUCAUCAGAUCUCAGUGAACAGUAAAAUGAAAAAAAAAUACUAGAAAAAUUCAAAAAAAUCUGAACUUUUUUUUGCAAGUAAGAUGUUUGAAUGCGUGAGGUCCGUGCCAAUUUUCAGCACGUUUGAACAUCUGAGUAGCUCUCGGCAAAAAAAGGAUCCAAACAGUGCACGAACAAUAAACUUUUCACAGACCCUGAUUUUAUUUUUUAUAAGAGCUACUCAGAUAUCAAAACACACUCAAAUUGACAAGAACAUCACGCAUUCAAACAACUUUCAUGCCAAAAAAAUUAAAAAAUGUAAAAUUUCUAGUAUUUUUCUAUUUUACUGUUCACGUCGCAGUCGCGCGCCGCCACACUCACUUGCACAAAGAAGGGCCUGGCAGCGAGCUCAAGACAUCAGAAGUGUAUCUUGGAGCGACGGAAGUAGAGCCCACAUCCGUCCACUGGCUUCGACGAAUCCGAGUCAUGGAAGGUGGCAGGGAGGAGGUACAGCGAGUCGGCGACGACUGGGUCGAGGAGACGAUGAGCGUCGAGCGGGGAAAGCAUGAGGUCAAGGAGAGGUGUGGGAGGCCGGUGGCGGCGGUGCCAUACUUGGGAUCUUACGGAUUUAAGGAAAAAGGCAAUGGUGGGUGAGUCGGGGCACUGUGGCUCGACAACCAGUGCACGGCGUUGGUCGAACGGUUUGGAUCUGGUGGCAGGUUGUAGGAUCGAAAGGAGUGUCUAGGAGGGGUGAAUAGACAACUAGCAUGAGUCAAUGGGCAAUCUUAAGUUCUUUAACAUUUAGGCGGAUUUUAGCACAAUCUAAAGUAGUACAAGCAUACUCUACACAAGCAUACCUAGAGCAUAGGCAACAGAAAGAAAAAUCGGUCAUGCCCGUGCAAGAAAGUAAGGAGUAGAAUUUGAGAGAAUCGCAAACAAUGGUUGACACAGAAGAUUUUUGACCCGCGGUCCCGAUAGGUCGUGAUAUCGUACGUCCACGGUUGAUGGAAGCUUCAAUCAUAAGGAUUACGUUUAUGGAUUCCAUAGAGGAAUCGAGUCCACAGAGGGCUCACACACACGAAGGAUCCAUGAAGAAGCAACAUUGCCUAUUCCAUCAUGGCAUACACCCAUGAAGGGUUGGCCUCACUAGGGUAGAUCUUCACGAAGUAGGCGAUUUUCUUGCCCUCACAAACUUCUUGGUUUCUCCACACGAUUUGGAGACUCCCAAGCAAACCUAGCCAAUCUAGGAGGCACCAUCCUCCAAAAGGUAAUAGAUGGUGUUGUUGAUGAUGAACUCCUUGCUCUUGUGCUUUAAAACAUAAUCUCCUUAACACUAAUACUCUCUCAUAGAUUUUGACUUUUGGAUAGGAGUGGUUUGGGUGGAAAGCAAUGAGGUGACUAGAAAUCAAAGGAUCAACGGUUCGAGUGGAUCCCUUUGAAAUCAACACAAGGAAUGGGAGCUCUCUCUCUCUCUCUGAAAUAUGGAUGUGUAAUGUGUUUACUUCGAGAGACAAUGGUCGAGUGGGUGGGGGCAUAUAUAGGCGGCACAAAAAACUGACUGUUACGCACCUUUUAGCACAUCUUGGUGAGACCGGCUGAAAACACACGGUCAGACCGAAUAGUAGAAAUGUUUGAACUUUAGAUACUUUGGUGACUCCAGAUGAAACUAUCCGGUGACACCAAGUUGUGCUCACCUAAGCACUUUACACACUUCGGUAAUUCUGACUGAAACCAUUCAGAAAUUCAGAACGAGUUGUAGUAGGCAACACAAGGUUAUAAGUGAUCUUCGGUGAGACCAAAGGGUCAACUUGGUGGGACCGAAAAGUUAGGGUUUUAGGCAACGACUAUAUCAUGAUGGCUCGGUGACUCUGAUUGGUUUGGUUCAGUGAGUCCGAGUUGAACUUUUAGUUUGUGAAAUAGUGGGAUCAUGUGAAAUGAUAUGAGGAUUUGGGAGUUUGAUCUUUAAUCACUUGAGCAAUGAACUCAUCAUCUCCUCAUAAGUUAGAGACCUUUCGGUCCAAAAAACUGCCCUAAGCCAAUGUACAACGCAAUGCACUUAGGAGAGGUGCUUAAAGAAAUAAAUUAUUCUUCAAGCACCGAUGCUUAUUUGUAGAAGGUACAAGCCUAAUUAGAGCAUCUCCAACGCCGACCCUUAACCGCCCGCAACCGCACGGUCCAAACGUGUUUUGCCAUCCAACGCGGUUCUAUAAUAUGUAUCAGUCCAGACAUGUUUUUCCUCAAAAACCGGAAACAAACCGGGGUACUUUGCGGGCGUCUGGACCGUUGCCACGCCCGCAUCCAACAACCAUUGCCCACCCAAACCCUCCCCUCGCCCGCGCACUUUCCCUCUCGAAGCCAGCUAUUCGCGUGCCGCUCUAGAACAACCGCUCCGCAUUGACGCCGGGACGUGACCUCUCACUGGCACCCGCACUAAAGCGGAUCACUUGCCGAGGGCACCACCCACGCCGCGUUCCCGGUGUCCGCACAUGUUCAAUGCCGGAGUGACGUUUACUGGACGGGAUGGGACGGAUAUCUACCGUGCCCGUUUAAUGCCUGUUUGUCCGUCUGCCACCAUUAGUAGGCUCACCGGCCGAGGAAUCAACUCCGACGCCCGCGCAUUUGGCGCACUGGGAUGCUUAGCCUCACCGAAGUGUGCUAUUUAAAGGCGACCACAACACAUCCACUCCACAUCUUCCUCCCGUGCACCACAUCUGCCACGACCGCGAACGGGAACGCUUUCUGGAAGAGCCUCUCGACCCAGCAAAAACACGAGGUGGCCGCCUCGCAGAGGCGUCGUGCCAGGCAGAUCGAGACCGGCAUGUCGGCCAGCUCCCUCGUGUCUUCAACGGCAACCCCAUGACGGAGAUGGGCUUUGGCGACGACUCGGCGCGGGAGCCCGCGCCGGUGCAUGCCGACUUACCAUGGAGCAAGCGAGGCGCACUUCACUGUGGCCAUGGCGGAGGAGGGCAAAUUUGACAAAUUUAACCUAUAGACGAAAUCAAAUCACAGAAUGAACUAUCCGUGAAACUAUUUCACGCGGCUGACCUUUUUGUGUGACGCCCGACACGAAGGCGCCACACUACACUGUGUAACGCCUAACAGAUAGGCGCUACACGGCCAGCGUCGCACCCGUGUGAUCAGAAAAUUACUAAGUCAGUGUGCAGCGCCUGAGAGCUAGGCGCCACACUAUACAGUGUAGCGCCUAGCUCCUAGGCGUUGCACUAGUGCAGCGCCUAGCUCCCAAGCGUUGCACUAGUGCAGCGCCUGAGAGCUAGGCGCCAUUGCACUAGUGCAGCGUCUGAGAGCUAGGCGCCACGGGUCAGCCGCGUGAAAUAGUUUUACGGACAGUUCAUUCUGUGAUUUGAUUUCGUCUAUAAGUUAAAUUUGUCAAAUUUGCCGCAGAGGAGCAGCCUGUGUUGGCACCUAUUCCGGUAUUCUGCAGGCUUACAACUUGUUCCUCUCCUCCUCGUGCAACCCCAGCUGGCGGAGGGCCAAACCUACAGCAAGUGUGCGAGCGAGGAGGUCGUAGCGGCCAUGGCCACGGCGAACCCCAACUUCUUAACGCAGAGCUGGCGUAGCCAGAUGCGGAUGUGGCGCUGGGAUAGAGGACAAGAAGACAAGAACACUGCGCGUCCUAUGUGCAGGCAGGAUCAUUCGAGGGCGCAUGUGGCAGGAGGGCAGGCAUUUUCAUGUUCAGCCGGAAGAGUUUAGACAAGACUCUAAUUAGGCCUUGAACAAUCAAAAAAUUGUUUUUUUGUUAAACACGGAUCACAGGAGAAACGAGGCACCCCUCAUGUAAUUGGUGCUUUUUAGAAAGAAAAAAACUAAUAUUCGUAUUUUCUUAAGCUUUGCUCAUUGACUCCCCGGUGAGGCGGUACGGAUGUUCCGUUAAGCAAGGUUCCCCUACCAUAUCUGCAGUCGAUUUUGUUGCCGUGAGCAAAUCCCACUGGAAGCACUCUUAAGCAUACGAAUUACUAGUUCAGGCGUCUCCAAGCGAACAGAAGACACAUGCAUGAAGAUUCUACCAAGCACAGAAGCGCCAUUUAUUACCAAAGCUCUCCACGAACCAUUUCUACUGUCACUUGAAGAUAAUUUAACUAGGUACACCACUGACGGAUUUGUUACAGUAUUUCUCGCAACGGGAUACAGAAUCAGGCAAAACCGGGGCCAACACAUCCAACGACCAACUCUCGUCCCCCCCUCGCAAAAUCUGGCGUUGGAAGCUGCCUUGCCAAAACAUGUUUCCCCCUCCUCUACCUGUCUGCUGCUAGACAGACCGAUGCUCAGAGCUCGUCCUUCAGAGGCUCGGUGGCAGCCGGUUCCGCCGCCUUCUCGGUGUCCGCCGCAGCCGCCUGCCCAGCAGUCUCCUUGUUCUUCUUGAUGUAGUCUACGAUCUCGUCGGCCGUCCUGCCGCCCUCGUACGAGACCUUCUUCCCGCUGGGAGUGACGAAGUACAGGGUGGGGUAACCCUGGACAUCGAACUCACUGGGCACGUCAUUCGCGGUCGCGUCCUGUGGACAAGGUUGAGAAACAGUGGUUAGGUAAGUUGUAUUCCGUUGCUGGAACUGGAACGACAGAGAGGGCAACAAAUAUUACCAUCUUCGCGAUCACAACGUCCUCUUCACUUUGAAGGGUGGCAGCUGCCUCGUCGAGGAUGGGUGCUAGCUUCUUGCAGUGUCCGCACCAGGGUGCAUAGAACUCGAUAAGAACUGCAAUAUAAGGUGGCAAAUCAAUGAGCCAUUGUUUCACUUACAAGGAAUCGCAGUCACUUGUUACAACUAGCUUAAUCCAGCGAGGAAAAAAAAAUUAACAAAGAUGAAUACCAUUUUUGCCAGAUUUGAAGACCACGUCGUGAACGUUGUCAGCCACAACUACCUUAACAGGCUCAUUGUUGGCCUCAGGAAUAGGCUCAGACUUCCUGAAUGGUGUCAAUUUGCCAUCCUACAAUAUGAAUGAACACUAAUGAAAUUGCUAAACAGAUUACCUGGGAUCAAACAAAUAAGGUUGGUAUUACUACAACCAAGGGAAAAAGGAAUGGCUACUUACAAAGUAAUCCUUCAACCAAGCAACAAUUUGGCCAGCCUCAACCUGUUCCUUCAAAAACUUCUUCGAGUCACUGUCUUGAAUGAGGAUCAGUGGUGCCUGAUCCUCUUUCAGCCCGAAGUACUAUGUUUCAAAGAAAAAUCUGUUAGCACCAAGGAAAAAACAACAGUAUCGAUAACUACUACCUUUGUAAAGAAAUAUAGAAAGGGAAACAGGCAAUCAACCUGGAAAGCGCCUUGGCUCGCUUCAAUGUCACCAAUAAGGAACUUCACAUCCUUGCCACUGAACUCCUCUACAGCACCAUAGUAGGCUGAUUUGAAGGACUCAAACGGUCCAGUGGAGAAGUUCAAAAAGAGCAUGGCCUACAUACCAUUUGAUGUCAGAGAACAGAAGUGCCAAAUAAUGAGUGACCAAUAACUAAAAAACAAUGAAAAGGCUAAUGCUCUAAGCAGCUUCACCACUAGAAACAUAUAUCUGAACUGUUUUUACAGACAAAGCACUGAAAACACCAAAGAUGAUAUUCUGCAUCUCAAACAAUCAUCACAUCUAUGGCUCUGCAGUAGUAGACCUUUCAGGUACAACAACCAUGAAUGAAAACACAAAGAUCCAAAAGGCUAACAAAACUAAAUACACUAGUAAUCCUCCAAAUGUGCUGAACAAAUUCUUUGCAAGAUGAUUUCUUCAAAGGACCGACAAAUGACUAGAAUAUACUAAUCAAUCAUUCAUGUAAACAUGUUCAAGAAAAAAUUGACAAAUUCAACCAUCAUUGGAUUGCAGAAGUUUUUUGUACACACCAAGAGUCAGGCUGAUAAUCAAUUGAAACAACAUACAGCGAUCAACAUUAUGGCCUAAUUAGUUACAAACUUGAGGCAUAGACCUAACUGACUAAGCAUAUAGUAGAAAUUAGGCAACUAUACAGAACUCAUACAAUUACAAAAAAUGAUAAAGCAUUCUAGAAGCAAGUUGUGUCAGUCAUUACCUUGGGAGCAUUGGUCUGGAAGAAUUUCAGGAGGUAAGGAUGGUUGUCAGGGUUCUUGUCAAAAGUAACAACUUUCGGGGUGCUGCUAGCAUCAAUGAAUUUCUCCAAAGCAGAAACAUCAAAAUCCUGCAAAAUGUCACAUCACUAUGUUAAUACUCAGUAAUCUGUAUGAAGUAAGAAGAACACAGAUGAACACUCCCUCUGUUCCAGAUUACUUGUCACUAAAUUGUACUAAAUAAGCAAUAACUAAUAUGAACAGAGGGAGUAAUGAUUAGUUUACAGAGCGAGCGAAGUAUAACCUUGCUGUCAACAACGAGCUCAUCAAAUGGCUUGAAUAGCCUAACCAAUGGCCUCUCCACUGCUGCAUCACCACGUGGGAGAUGGUUGGCAUGCACGGUGUGGCCAAAGUCAUAAUCAGACCUCAGCUUCUCAGCAACCUCAAGGAAGUUUGUAAACUCAGUGCCGCUGAAUUCAGUGAAAACACCAACCUAUACAAUUAUCAUCAUUACUUAGUCAGCAGGCAUAGAACAUCAACCAUGGCUAUAUGACGAUUGCUAUUUGAAAGUAAGAACAGACAAAAUAAGAAGCUUACAAUGUGGAUCUUGCCGUCUUCAAGGUAAGUGGCAUCUUCAGGUGCCUUGAUCUCCUUGGAAGCAGGGCCAACCUGCUUCUUCAAGUACUCGACAAUUCCCUCAGCCUCCCUGGGGCCCUUGUAUUCCUGGAUGUUCUUUCCCCCGUUCCUGAAGAUCUUGAGGGUAGGGAAGCCCUGGACCUCGUACUUGCCCGCAAGCGGCUUGUUCUUCUCAUCGUUGGCAUCAACCUUAGCAAGGACAAUCGCUGGGUCGUGCUUGCUCAACAGUUGGGCCGCCUUCUCAUACUGCAACAUCACACAUCAACGAAUGAGAUCAAUCCAUUCAGCAUAUAACACCAGUGCUAAGUAAGUGGUCCAAGGAUGUAGAAGAAUUACCUCAGGUGCCAGGCUCUUGCAGUGUCCACACCUGAAACAAAAUUCAGACCAGACUAAGUGAGAUUGUACUGAAAUAAGUCGAACAGACAGAAUCUGCAAUACAUAGGUACAGUAUAAAGUUGGACGCAGUGGAAUCCCAACAGGGACCCCAGCCCAACAACCUCUAAACCCUCGAGGAACUUGAAAUCCAACCAAAACUUCAGAGGAAUCGGCGAUCCAGACGCACCGAUCAGCAAAGCCAGAUCCCCCGUCGUCCGCAACUGACGCAUCUGAGACAUCUCUAAACUGACCACGAUCUAAACCGCUCGGAUCCGCCGGAACAACACCCACACACACGCACAGACACCAGAGGCGAGG
Molecule: long non-coding RNA, 26169 nt
Filed under: Triticum aestivum (bread wheat)
Lineage: Eukaryota; Viridiplantae; Streptophyta; Magnoliopsida; Poales; Poaceae
Description: long non-coding RNA (TAES_LNC004164)
Source: RNAcentral